RNAcentral lists this ribosomal RNA (427 nucleotides) under uncultured bacterium. RNAcentral describes it as "partial 16S ribosomal RNA". It matches the Rfam family "Bacterial small subunit ribosomal RNA", at positions 355 to 774 of the family's 1533-position model. The record is from RNAcentral.
UGGGGAAUAUUGGACAAUGGGCGAAAGCCUGAUCCAGCCAUGCCGCGUGUGUGAAGAAGGUCUUCGGAUUGUAAAGCACUUUAAGUUGGGAGGAAGGGCAUUAACCUAAUACGUUAGUGUUUUUACGUUACCGACAGAAUAAGCACCGGCUAACUCUGUGCCAGCAGCCGCGGUAAUACAGAGGGUGCAAGCGUUAAUCGGAAUUACUGGGCGUAAAGCGCGCGUAGGUGGUUUGUUAAGUUGGAUGUGAAAUCCCCGGGCUCAACCUGGGAACUGCAUUCAAAACUGACUGACUAGAGUAUGGUAGAGGGUGGUGGAAUUUCCUGUGUAGCGGUGAAAUGCGUAGAUAUAGGAAGGAACACCAGUGGCGAAGGCGACCACCUGGACUAAUACUGACACUGAGGUGCGAAAGCGUGGGGAGCAAACA